Molecule: long non-coding RNA, 425 nt
Organism: Maniola jurtina (meadow brown)
Lineage: Eukaryota; Metazoa; Arthropoda; Insecta; Lepidoptera; Nymphalidae
Exons: 2
Source: RefSeq, a predicted model, not a curated record
AACAGUAUACUUAGUUAAGCCGUAGUCCAUCACGCAUUCUCAUUCUGAGAGAUGAUAUAGGGCCGUCGAAGGCUUGAGAUGAUGAUAAAGAUGGCUAGUUUCAAUUAAACCAUAGGUCUAUGUGCAAAAACUAGGUAGGUCUUUUAGUAAAAGGUGGUACCUACUGAUUCUGAUCUCAAACUAUAAUUUUAUAGUAUUUACAUCUUAUUCUUACCAAUGUAAUAAGAAAAAGGCAGACAAACUUAAUUUAACUUAGAACUGUCAAACCCCGUGACUUUAGAUGCCAGUUGUGACCCUGUUAUUUAAAGUAGAGUAGCACUAAAGUUUACAUGUCAAUUUAAAACUGACCAUAACAGCCUUGUUUUAACACUCAAGUUCGUCUAUACAUCUACAGCCAGCGCUCCAAGCGGAAACCUUGCGAAGUU